ACAUAAUUUCUAAAAUAAUAAAAUGCAUUCGUAUUUAGUAUAUAUGUUACCAGAAAUAUUGACAAUUUAGGAAAUUACGACAAUUCCUAAGAAAUUAUGAUAUUUCCUAACAUCGGAAGGAAAUAAUAUCAAUGUCUAGGAACUGUCAUAAUUUUCAUAGUUUAUUAGGUAAUGUUAUCACGCAUCGCUUUAUACUAUUAUAUAGGUACAUUAUGUAUAUAUUGUAAAUAUAAGUGGUAAGUGUAAGUAUAUAAAAGCUUUGCACUUUCAAUGCUUGACCGUACAAAGUGAUUUUAUUUAGUUGAUCUACGAAAACAAAAUAUACUUAAUGCGCGUCAAUAAUCUGCCCACAGUUUAGAAAAACUGGCUCAAAAAAUUAUUGAAACAUGAAAUAGAAAAUAUGAUGAAACUACAGGAACUACAGUACGUCUGAGCAUUCCUGAUGUAGAUCACUCGUGGAUCAACAAGAAAUGUGUAUUAGCGGUUAUAACAGAAGUUAAACAAAAUGUAUACAAGCUAUGCACUGAAAGUGGAUUUUUAAAACAUAAUAUGUACACGAGAUCGAAAUUAAAUCCUUAUAAAGCAAAUUUAUUGGAUCUAACUACUAUUUUAGAAUCGGUACGUCACGCAGAAAAACAAAUAUCACUUCAGGAGGCAACUACUCUAAAUAGUAUUUCAGAGGCACAAGGAUAUGUCCGCUGUCAACAUAAGACAAAAUUCAAGACAAACAGGUGUGCUUGCAGAUCUGAUCUAAAAUUUGCAAUUCUAAAUGUCAUGGAAGUUUGCCAAGUGAUAACAAAAAUGAGUAAAAAUGUAAAAAAGCUUAAAUUGCACAAAUUAAAGCGAUAAAAAAAAUGUUUGA
This is a long non-coding RNA of Acyrthosiphon pisum (pea aphid), 862 nucleotides long. RefSeq lists it as uncharacterized. The transcript has 2 exons. Lineage: Eukaryota; Metazoa; Arthropoda; Insecta; Hemiptera; Aphididae. The record is from RefSeq and is a predicted model, not a curated record.